RNAcentral lists this ribosomal RNA (253 nucleotides) under uncultured bacterium. RNAcentral's name for it is "partial 16S ribosomal RNA". It matches the Rfam family "Bacterial small subunit ribosomal RNA", at positions 524 to 776 of the family's 1533-position model. The record is from RNAcentral.
UACAGAGGUCUCAAGCGUUGUUCGGAUUCAUUGGGCGUAAAGGGCGCGUAGGCGGGCCGGCAAGUCAGGGGUGAAAUCCCACGGCUCAACCGUGGAAGUGCCUUUGAUACUGCCGGUCUGGAGGGAGGUAGGGGCGUGCGGAACUUCCGGUGGAGCGGUGAAAUGCGUAGAUAUCGGAAGGAACACCGGUGGCGAAAGCGGCGCGCUGGACCUCCACUGACGCUGAGGCGCGAAAGCCAGGGGAGCAAACGGG